AAGGAUAUAUUCGGAACAUCUUCUACGAAGAUGAGGGAAUAACGUGACAUAUUGUAUUCAGUUUUGAAUGUUUAUUAACAUUCAUUUGUACAUUGAAAACUAGAUAAGUAAGUAAGAUUUUACCAAGCAAAACCGAGUGAAUAGAGUUUUAAAUAAGCUUGAAUUCAUAAAUAAUCGCUAGUGUUCGAAAGAACACUCAUCAAGAUUAAUAACUAGUUUUAGCUAUUUAUUUUGAAUAACAAUUCAAAAUAUGGUGGAAACAUA
This 264-nucleotide unclassified non-coding RNA is filed under the name Staphylococcus epidermidis. Its description in RNAcentral is "16S-23S ribosomal RNA intergenic spacer". Lineage: Bacteria; Bacillati; Bacillota; Bacilli; Caryophanales; Staphylococcaceae. The record is from RNAcentral.